This is a long non-coding RNA of Fundulus heteroclitus (mummichog), 683 nucleotides long. RefSeq lists it as uncharacterized. The transcript has 5 exons. The record is from RefSeq and is a predicted model, not a curated record. NCBI's taxonomy places the organism in Eukaryota, Metazoa, Chordata, Actinopteri, Cyprinodontiformes, Fundulidae.
GAUGUCUUUAGAUUUUAUUCUUGACUCCUUCCUGGUAUAGGGAGGUAAAAAGUCAAAGGUCAGAUGCUCCCAGUUGCAGCUUCGCCACUGAGUUCAUGUGGAAGAUUUGUCUUCAUUAUUUUGUUCUGAUUGUUUGUCUUGCCUUGGGGUUCCAGAUGGUGUGGUCUGCGGUCAGAAGUUCCUCUUACCCAGACACUUAAACUUCCUCUCAGAGGGGAGGCACAGUACAAACUGUUGCAGGAGGACGAUCCAGUCUUCCCUGCUGAUGGGAUUCUGCGUAAGAUCUCCAUAUUCGCUAUACUGCACAGGAAGCCAGUCUGACAAGGCUUCGUAAACCUGAAAAACAAUAGAGAAGCGGGUCGUUUGAUCCCAUCCCUCCACCCAGCGUCUGCCGGCACCGCGUGUGUGUUUAUGGAGGGAAGCAAGAACCGGAGCUCACCUAUGGUCACGUUCCCCUUUUCACAGCAGAGACGUGAGUUUGUUGUGCUGCGCUUACUUUUUUCAUCUGGAUUUCCCUCUCAGAGCCUUCAUCGACGGCUGGGAGACAGAGUGUGGGAACAAUGAGACCAGAAUAAGGUCCGGACAAAAAGGGGCCCUGAAUCCCAGUGUCACGUUCAUGUGAACAGUCAGAAAAAUUGGGAUCAACCAUCUGGUAAAGAAACAGCAAAGACCAAAGUCUUCCC